RNAcentral lists this ribosomal RNA (547 nucleotides) under uncultured beta proteobacterium. RNAcentral's name for it is "bacterial SSU rRNA". It matches the Rfam family "Bacterial small subunit ribosomal RNA", at positions 355 to 896 of the family's 1533-position model. Lineage: Bacteria; Pseudomonadati; Pseudomonadota; Betaproteobacteria. The record is from RNAcentral.
UGGGGAAUUUUGGACAAUGGGCGCAAGCCUGAUCCAGCAAUGCCGCGUGCAGGAAGAAGGCCUUCGGGUUGUAAAGCUCUUUUGUCAGGGAAGAAACACCGGCUCUAACACAGUCCGGGAAUGACGGUACCUGAAGAAUAAGCACCGGCUAACUACGUGCCAGCAGCCGCGGUAAUACGUAGGGUGCAAGCGUUAAUCGGAAUUACUGGGCGUAAAGCGUGCGCAGGCGGUUAUACAAGACAGGCGUGAAAUCCCCGGGCUUAACCUGGGAAUGGCGCCUGUGACUGUAUAGCUAGAGUGUGUCAGAGGGGGGUAGAAUUCCACGUGUAGCAGUGAAAUGCGUAGAUAUGUGGAGGAAUACCAAUGGCGAAGGCAGCCCCCUGGGAUAACACUGACGCUCAUGCACGAAAGCGUGGGGAGCAAACAGGAUUAGAUACCCUGGUAGUCCACGCCCUAAACGAUGCUGACUAGUUGUUCGGGAUUUACAUCCUGAGUAACGUAGCUAACGCGUGAAGUCAGCCGCCUGGGGAGUACGGUCGCAAGAUUA